AAUUCUCAACCCUUCUAGCUUUUGUGAGCUGUGAUAGGGCUUGGAACUUGGGAGUUUGCGGGCCUAUAGAAGGUCGGCUCUUCUGAAAUGCAUUAGCGGAACCGUUUGCAGUCCCGUCACUAGUGUGAUAAUUAUCUACACUGUGAUGAUUGCUCUCUAGUUUGUUCAGCUGCUAAUUGUCCAUCAUCGGACAACUCUUUAAUGAACC
RNAcentral lists this unclassified non-coding RNA (208 nucleotides) under uncultured Calvatia. Its description in RNAcentral is "sequence contains ITS2". The record is from RNAcentral. Lineage: Eukaryota; Fungi; Basidiomycota; Agaricomycetes; Agaricales; Lycoperdaceae.